GAUGAACGCUGGCGGCAUGCCUAACACAUGCAAGUCGAGCGAACAGACGGGGCGUUUGCUCCUUUGACGUUAGCGGCGGACGGGUGAUUAACACGUAGGUAACCUACCUAUAAGACUGGGAUAACUUCGGGGGACCGGAUCUAAUACCGGAUAAUAUUUCGAACCGCAUGGUUCGAUAGUGAAAGAUGGCUUUGCUAUCACUUAUAGAUGGACCUGGGCCGGAUUAGUAAGUUGGUAAGGUAACGGCUUACCAAGGCAACGAUACGUAGCCGACCUGAGAGGGUGAUCGGCCACACGGGAACGGAGAAACGGCCCAAACUCCUACGGGAGGAAGCGGUAGGGAAUCUUCCGAAAGGGGCAAAGGCCGAACGGGGCAACGCGGCGGGAGUGAGGAAGGUCUUCGGAUCGUAAAACUCUGUUGUUAGGGAGGAACAAAGGUGUAUGAAACUGUGCACGUCUGGACGGAACCGAAUAAUAAGGCCCGGGUAAAUUCGGG
Molecule: ribosomal RNA, 496 nt
Filed under: uncultured bacterium
Lineage: Bacteria
Description: partial 16S ribosomal RNA
Rfam family: Bacterial small subunit ribosomal RNA
Source: RNAcentral